CCUACAUAAAACAUUUGAAUCUUUGGCUUAGAGAGACUGGGAAUAAAUACUUAAGCAUGACAUUACUACCUGUGCUGCCUUAUAAACUGUUGGAAGAAUUUAGGAACAAAUGAGUUUUUGUGAAAAAGCAUUUGAAGAUCUCCCUUUCUAUUUGAAAAAGUACAAGAGUUUAGAUGGACAAAUCAUUUUCCAUAUGUGCUCUUGCAUAAUCUCUAAGGAUAAUCAGAGUUACUCUAAUAGAGUCAUAAAUAGAAUUAAGUCAGUACUUAUUACACUGACAUAUUAUGCUUAUUAUAAUGUAGGCUAUCCUGUAACUAGCUCUGUUGUACAUGGAUUAAAAAUCUUUUUCUAUAAAAAUCCAAAAGGAAGUUGGAAUUCACAAUGAAAAACAAAGUCUGGGUCCUAAUAAAUCUUCAUUAAUAAACAUUCAGGUAAGUAAGAAAGAUGAAAUCUACUUAAGUAGAAAAAAUCUGAAAGCAGUUUAUUAAUGGUAUUGACCUGGCUCUUUUGGAAGAUACAUAUUCAAUUAGAAAAAAACAAAACAAAGUAAAACAUCUCAUCUUGUGGAGAAUUUAAUGAUAUGCAAUUUAGCUCCUAAAUCUAGAUUUUAUUCCAAACUGAAAAGAUUUUAUUACCAACUUUAUUUUGCUAUAAAAUAUUUAUGAGAAGCCCCAAAAGUUUAAAUGCUGUGUUUGAGUUUUCCAGUUUUCUUAAAUUCAAGAAGAGAAAGUAAUACAUAAUAGACAAAUGAUCCUGAUAACGUUACAUAUUACUAUGUAACUAAAAUAAUUGUCACCAUUUUUGUUUUCAAUUAUGAUAGCCUCUCACUUAGAUUCAAAUGCUAUUUUGCCUUUUAAUGUUUGUGCUGAAAUGAUUCACAAAUAGAGUUCUAAAAAGUAAUUUCUUUCAUUAACCAAUAAUUCUUAUUCCAUAAAAAAUUGUUUGUUUUGGAUAAAUUUUUUUUCAAAACUAUUGUGGAAUUAUAUAACUUCAUUAAAACCUACAUUAACUUCAAAAUUUUAGCUAGUGUAACUUUAAAGUGUUUAAUUGCUUGCAAUACCCAAAAGAUUUAGAUGGAAAAAUAAAGCCUUUUUUGAUAUGGUGUGGGGUUUUUUGUGUAAUUAAUGUUUAUAAAUUCACCCCCUAAAAGUUGUUUUAUAUAUAUAUAUAUAUAUUAAUCAAAGGUUUCUUGAUUCUGAUAGUAGUAUAGCUCAUUUUUCUAUUUUUUUCCUUUCUUACCCUUACUAAUGAAACUGGUAAUAGUUUUGGACCCCAUGCCAUUUUGUCAUGUAGUUACAACUUGUCCUUUUAUAAAAGAAAAUUAAAAACGGCUGAGUGUUAUAGAUAUUAAUGGUUGUUAGAAAAGUAUAAUAAAAGGCUCUCUUUCUGGAGCGUUGCUGAGCUUUUAUGUCAUUAUUCAUGAAUGACUAAUGCAUUCAAAGGAGAAGAGUGCUGAUCUCUAAGGCUAGGAUGAUGGACAGUGGAGAGGGAAAGAGUGGCUGACAGAAGGCCAUUUGUCAUAUGUGAAGAUCUAAUAACAGGCUUGUCUACAUUGAGAUAUUUCAGCUGAACUUAGAAAAAGAAACCUUUAUUACAUGUGAGGUUA
RNAcentral lists this long non-coding RNA (1606 nucleotides) under Canis lupus familiaris (dog). RNAcentral describes it as "lncRNA (ENSCAFG00000051458.1, ENSCAFG00845012658.1)". Lineage: Eukaryota; Metazoa; Chordata; Mammalia; Carnivora; Canidae. The record is from RNAcentral.